UGAGGAAUAUUGGGCAAUGCCCGCAAGGGUGACCCAGCAACGCCGCGUGGAGGAUGAAUGUCGUAAGAUUGUAAACUCCUGUUAGAGGGGAAGAAUAGUACCGGUUGGACCGGUAUAUGACUGUACCCUCAGAGAAAGCCCCGGCUAACUACGUGCCAGCAGCCGCGGUAAUACGUAGGGGGCAAGCGUUGUCCGGAUUUACUGGGUGUAAAGGGCGCGCAGGCGGGAUAAAAAGUCAGUGGUGAAAUCCUACAGCUUAACUGUAGAACGGCCUUUGAUACUUUUAUUAUUGAUUUCGGGAGAGAGAGACGGAAUGCCAGGUGUAGUGGUGAAAUACGUAGAUACCUGGAAGAAUACCAGUUGCGAAGGCGGUCUCUUGGUCCGACACUGACGCUGAGGCGCGAAAGCGUGGGGA
RNAcentral lists this ribosomal RNA (415 nucleotides) under uncultured bacterium. Its description in RNAcentral is "bacterial SSU rRNA". It matches the Rfam family "Bacterial small subunit ribosomal RNA", at positions 355 to 767 of the family's 1533-position model. The record is from RNAcentral.